CCUACGGGAGGCUGCAGUCGAGAAUCUUCGGCAAUGCGCGCAAGCGUGACCGAGCGACGCCGUGUGCGGGAUGAAGGCCUUCGGGUUGUAAACCGCUGUCGUAGGGGAGGAAAUUCGUCGGGGUUCUCCCCGGCGAUUGACCUAUCCUAGGAGGAAGGACGGGCUAAGUUCGUGCCAGCAGCCGCGGUAAUACGAACCGUCCAAACGUUAUUCGGAAUCACUGGGCUUAAAGGGUACGUAGGCGGCGCUGUCAGUCGGGUGUGAAAUCCCUCGGCUCAACCGAGGAAUUGCGCCCGAUACUGCAGCGCUCGAGGGAGACAGAGGUAAGCGGAACUGAUGGUGGAGCGGUGAAAUGCGUUGAUAUCAUCAGGAACACCGGUGGCGAAAGCGGCUUACUGGGUCUCUUCUGACGCUGAGGUACGAAAGCUAGGGUAGCGAAG
RNAcentral lists this ribosomal RNA (440 nucleotides) under uncultured bacterium. RNAcentral's name for it is "bacterial SSU rRNA". It matches the Rfam family "Bacterial small subunit ribosomal RNA", at positions 338 to 773 of the family's 1533-position model. The record is from RNAcentral.